AACUGGUUGCUAAACAGAGAAACUUGACCCACCUAUACCGCAGGAAUGUUCUGCAGUGUUUUUUUCUAUAGAUUCUUGGCAUUAAAAAAGAACAUAUUUUUGUCGGUUAACGCUACCACACAAAGUUUUUUUUUUUUUUUAAAUUCCUUUGCAUUAUAUUUAAUGGCAGAGGGAAUUCAUAGCAGAGAGAACACGACUGAAUUUACUUGUAUUGUUUGAGAAUUAGUGCCAGACCUGGGAAAACAACAUUCCCAAACAACAUUCCCAGACCAGUGAGGGAAUAUGCAACUGGUUUUCCCAAAGCAUAGUUUCAGUUCAUGUGUUUGUUAGUUGUUGUUGAAAAUAUUUGAGAUACAUAAAUUGUUCUAAUCUAAAAUUUCACUUGCAUGUGUUAAUUUACAUCAGAGGUCUGCAGAGAAUGAAAGUACCAGUUUUAGAUUAGCAUGUCACUAACUGCAUAAGCGGCUAAAAUCUGACUGGACGAUUUCAAUAUGCCGCACAGAAGCAUAUGCUAAUUAAUGUCACAAUAUCAGUAAAAACAUUGACCUUUACUGUACUUAUACAUCCCCAAUAUCACUUUCACAUUUUGAAAAAAAGAAGAGAAAAAACCUUUGGUCAACAUAAAAAUUAAGUGGCAGGAUAAAAUAGAUAAAUAAAUAAAUACAAUGAACACCUGCAGAUUUGCAGAAAAUGGUAAGUUCACUUGGCUUUCAUUUCAUUAGAUGUGCUCAGGGAAUUUCAAUUAAACAGACUGAAUAUUAGGAUGAGCGUACUGUAUUCCAAGCCAGUGUUUUUCCUUAAUAGCAGCGAAUAUGACACCAGAAAGAUUAAAGAUCGGAGAAGACAGUCAGGACUGAAGAGGCAAACGAUCAGCGUGAUCCAGGCUAAGUAUCACAAUGACUGUCCCUCAUGCACCAUAAGAGAAGUGACAAGUUUUUCUGGCCGAAAAUUCAGAUUUAAAUCAAUAUUUACCCAAAAUAUCAGCCUGAGCAUCCAAAAAGGCAUUACAGUAAGUCUAAUGGACAAAGUGACGUGUGAUUAGACAGUUCACCAGAACGGACUAGGCAGUAAGUUCACAUGUUUCUAUGUAGCAUUAUUUUCACCACCUAAAAUAUACAGGCUUACAAUUGCAACUGUUAAAAUGAAACACUGAAAUGAGACAAUCAGCAUUGACUGGAAUGUGUUUAAUCAAUCAAUCAAUCAAUCAAGUAAUCAAUAAAUCAAUCAAUCAGUCAAUCAAAUUUUAUUUAUAUAGCACCUUUCAGACAAGUAAAUGCAGUUCAAAGUGCUUCCCAUAGAAAAAACGGUUGACCUGGCCACAGCUGACGGAGGUCACCUGGAGUAGACGCCUGUGCCUUGCGCAAAGAGAACGUAGUGACAUCAUCAAGGUCAUGUGAGGUCAAGCCGGAAGAGAGGCAAACCACAGGGACAGUGCUCGUUAAACCGUUUCUUAAUGGUAGCUUUUCCCUUUCCACGUUUUCUCGCGUCUAUUCAAAUUCUUUAAAAAAAAAAAGAAGCAACCUGGCCUCGUUCGACCGGCGAACACAAGAACAUACCGUCGUCGCUGCGCAUACCGGCACCAUGAAGUCCCUCUCACUGACUCACCUGUGUGGAUGAAAUAAUGGGACUGGAUCACCUGUGGAGUUGUCAUGGUUACAGCAGCAAGAGCAUCAGUCGCUGCUGGAUGACCAGCGUUGCGGUGCAUUGUGGGAAAGCUACCCAUAAAGGACGUUUAACUGUGGCUCCGGCAGUGAGAGCAGUGAUCUCAGAUUGAUGGAACCAGAUAAGAACACUCAUCUCUGGUAAUCUAAGACUUUUAUUAUGCCGCUGAUGGCCUGUUGUUUCACACGUGUGAUGUCACUGCUUCAUUUGAUUGCACAGCUGCUCAGUCUUGACCCAUAUUUAACUGCAGCCCUGUUGCAUUGUGGGUGUGUUUGCGCUCCUAGCUCGUGCCAUCUGAAGAAAGGACAUGUCUGAUCAAUUUACUGUCAAAGUAAACCCGAUAAUUCAGUCGUUUAGUGUUCGCUUCAACUGGGGGGAAAAACAUCAAUGAUUGGUUAUGAUAUGGUUUCAUUUUAAAAAACAGAAGAACUGCUGUGACUUUUAUUGUCUGUUUUUUUUUUUUAUGCAUUUGGGCCUUAGCGUGUUUCAUUGCCCUUGUAGCAUGUAAAUUGAGCGCUCCAAAAACAUAACUGAGUCAUGCUGAAAGAAAAUAAUAAAAAAUAAUACGCCUGUAAAUUCAACAUUUUCAGGAUAAAACAAAAAGAUGUCAAAAAGAUUAAUCAUUAAAAUCUUUUAAACCUGCAGUUUCUGCAUUAAAACCUACAUUUAAAAAACAGUUUCUGCUCAGUAAAAUGCUCCGUGAGCAUUUAAAAUAGUUUAACUCUUUUGUUUGCUUCAGUCAAAGAGAGACGAAGUGUCCUCCAUCGCAGCAGAAGGCACUCUGUAAGCAUUCGUUUGGCGUAACUUUCACCGUGCGCACGGCAGCUA
Long non-coding RNA from Anguilla rostrata (American eel), 2490 nucleotides. RefSeq lists it as uncharacterized. NCBI's taxonomy places the organism in Eukaryota, Metazoa, Chordata, Actinopteri, Anguilliformes, Anguillidae. The record is from RefSeq and is a predicted model, not a curated record. The transcript is spliced from 3 exons.